GACGAACGCUGGCGGCGUGCUUAACACAUGCAAGUCGAACGGAAAGGCCCUGCUUUUGUGGGGUGCUCGAUUGGCGAACGGGUGAGUAACACGUGAGUAACCUGCCCUUGACUUUGGGAUAACUUCAGGAAACUGGGGCUAAUACCGGAUAGGAGCUCCUGCUGCAUGGUGGGGGUUGGAAAGUUUCGGCGGUUGGGGAUGGACUCGCGGCUUAUCAGCUUGUUGGUGGGGUAGUUGCUUACCAAGGCUUUGACGGGUAGCCGGCCUGAGAGGGUGACCGGCCACAUUGGGCCUGAGAUACGGCCCAGACUCCUACGGGAGGCAGCAGUGGGGAAUCUUGCACAAUGGGCGCAAGCCUGAUGCAGCAACGCCGCGUGCGGGAUGACGGCCUUCGGGUUGUAAACCGAUUUCGCCUGUGACGAAGCGUGAGUGACGGUAAUGGGUAAAGAAGCACCGGCUAACUACGUG
Molecule: ribosomal RNA, 468 nt
Filed under: uncultured bacterium
Lineage: Bacteria
Description: partial 16S ribosomal RNA
Rfam family: Bacterial small subunit ribosomal RNA
Source: RNAcentral